UACGUAGGGGGCAAGCGUUGUCCGGAUUUAUUGGGCGUAAAGAGCGUGUAGGCGGCCAUACAGGUCCGUUGUGAAAACUGGAGGCUUAACCUCCAGACGUCGAUGGAAACCGUAUGGCUAGAGUCCGGAAGAGGAGAGUGGAAUUCCUGGUGUAGCGGUGAAAUGCGCAGAUAUCAGGAAGAACACCCGUGGCGAAGGCGGCUCUCUGGGGCGGUACUGACGCUGAGACGCGAAAGCGUGGGGAGCAAACAGG
RNAcentral lists this ribosomal RNA (253 nucleotides) under uncultured bacterium. RNAcentral's name for it is "partial 16S ribosomal RNA". It matches the Rfam family "Bacterial small subunit ribosomal RNA", at positions 524 to 776 of the family's 1533-position model. The record is from RNAcentral.